This 305-nucleotide ribosomal RNA is filed under the name uncultured bacterium. RNAcentral describes it as "bacterial SSU rRNA". It matches the Rfam family "Bacterial small subunit ribosomal RNA", at positions 337 to 638 of the family's 1533-position model. The record is from RNAcentral.
UCCUACGGGAGGCAGCAGUGAGGAAUAUUGGUCAAUGGGCGCGAGCCUGAACCAGCCAAGUCGCGUGAGGGAGGACGGCCCUACGGGUUGUAAACCUCUUUUGCCGGGGAGCAACGGGCGUCACGUGUGGCGCCACUGAGAGUACCCGGAGAAUAAGCUCCGGCUAACUACGUGCCAGCAGCCGCGGUAAUACGUAGGGAGCAAGCGUUAUCCGGAUUUACUGGGUGUAAAGGGCGUGUAGGCGGGCAUGCAAGCCAGAAGUGAAAUCUGGGGGCUUAACCCCCAAACUGCUUUUGGAACUGCGG